GGCAGAGUGAAGAGUGGAUCACUACCAUUUGUGAGGCCUUGGAAAGCUUGUCCUAAUGCGUAUCCAAGUGCCCUAGCCACUGGUACUGCAACAGCAUUCCCAACUUGAGUGUACCUUGACAACAUUAUAGAUAGGGCCAAAUAGUCUAUAGUAAUCAGGGAAGCCCUGGAGCCUUGCGUUCUCUCGCACAGUCAAGACACGGUCUUGGUUUGGGUGGAUGAUCACCUGUAAUCAUAUCAAGCAGCAUUAACAGUGAAUACUAUUUUAAAAUUGUUUCCAUAGAUUAGAUGCACAGCCCAGCAUUUUCAGAUGAAUUAAUGAGUUAUUUCAUUCUCCUGAGAGGGUUUCAAGACCGAAAGAAAGACUGACAUGAUUGUGUGGCUCGGCUCUUCCGAUAACAGUUGGGACAGUUUCAUCCCACCAAAGCCGUCCAAAGGGUCUGCAAAGGAAAAUGGUUCAGGUGAUUUAAUAACUCGAAAACAUAUAUGCCAAAUCCAGAAACUGCAGAGAGAAGAAUGACUGUGGAAAUCAAGAACUCACUUCUUUGACUUUCCCUCGACAAAUUUCAUGGCAUACUCUGGAAUCUGUUUGGAUAGCACAAGACGAUGUCUCUUAAAAGGCAAUGAAGAGAGAGCAAGAUUGAUAGAUAAAGAAAGAAAGAAACGAGAUGAUCAGUAUAUUACCAAGGGGUGAUUGGAUUCAAGAUAGAUCCUGGGGAUUUUAGGAUCCCAUUCAACUUUGUUAUUAGCAUUAACAGUUACACCAGGUAAGUCCCUGAAAUUCGCUUGCUAAUACCAGACACAGUACAACAUUAAAACAAAGAGCAAAAGAUAGAAAGAAAAAAAAUGUGAGCAAGGAGUGUGAAGAUGCUCUACCUUUUUCUUGGGGAUCCUACAGACACGUUGAUAAUCAUCUUUGUUAAGAUUCAAAGGAUGGUGAUCGUACAACACCUCAUUUUUGGAGUUUGACUUGGGAUCUUUAGGUGAAGCUAACAUUCCUGUUGAAAAAAGGGGAGACAUCCUCCAGUUUUAAUAAUACUCUUCAUAUCUAUGUUUUACAUCGUUACCUUGAAGAGAGAUAAGAAUCUUACCUUCUUGCGUCAA
Molecule: long non-coding RNA, 1103 nt
Organism: Brassica napus (rape)
Lineage: Eukaryota; Viridiplantae; Streptophyta; Magnoliopsida; Brassicales; Brassicaceae
Exons: 2
Source: RefSeq, a predicted model, not a curated record